RNAcentral lists this ribosomal RNA (492 nucleotides) under uncultured bacterium. RNAcentral's name for it is "partial 16S ribosomal RNA". It matches the Rfam family "Bacterial small subunit ribosomal RNA", at positions 29 to 507 of the family's 1533-position model. The record is from RNAcentral.
AGUGAACGCUGGCGGUAGGCCUAACACAUGCAAGUCGAACGGCAGCACAGUAAGAGCUUGCUCUUACGGGUGGCGAGUGGCGGACGGGUGAGGAAUACAUCGGAAUCUACUUUUUCGGGGGGGAUAACGUAGGGAAACUUACGCUAAUACCGCAUACGACCUACGGGUGAAAGCAGGGGAUAUUCGGACCUUGCGCGAUUCAAUGAGCCGAUGUCGGAUUAGCUAGUUGGCGGGGUAAAGGCCCACCAAGGCGACGAUCCGUAGCUGGUCUGAGAGGAUGAUCAGCCACACUGGAACUGAGACACGGUCCAGACUCCUACGGGAGGCAGCAGUGGGGAAUAUUCGACAAUGGGCGCAAGCCUGAUCCAGCCAUACCGCGUGGGUGAAGAAGGCCUUCGGGUUGUAAAGCCCUUUUGUUGGGAAAGAAAAGCAGCAGGUUAAUACCCCGCUGUUCUGACGGUACCCAAAGAAUAAGCACCGGCUAACUUCGUG